GAAAAUUCAACUAGAUUUAUAAAAUAAGAAAACAAAACAAAAUUUUGCUUGUCACUUGGCCUAAAACUCAAAACAAACAAGCCCUAACGCCACACAAAUAAAUCAAAUAAAAGGAAAACAGACCCAAAAGCAGUAAAAGGACCACGGGCCACUAAAAUAACUAACAAAAUAAAAUAAAACAGGAAACUUAAACUUUAAAAUAUCUUCAGUAGACAGAAACAGCUGGACCACUUUAAUAACAUUUCUCUUUUCUCUGAAUCGUCACUGCCAUUAAAAGCAGAGCUAUUUAUAUCUGCAGAAAAGACUCUGGCUCCCACCUUGGGAGCUGCUGUCAGAUAUCUAGAUCGUAUGCUAAGGUUUGAUCCAUUCCAUAGUAGAAAGGUAAAGAGAUAGGAGAGUGAGGCUAGCUUUGGGCAUCCCCUAAGCCCUGAUGUGCCUACAACGACACUUUUAGACCUUUGUUGAUGUACAUUAAUUGUUUUUCCAGCUGGUGGAGCUAAGACAAUAGGCCUUUAGAAAGCAGAGCUAUUACCACUGCCUACCCAAAAGAGCACGAAGGUAAAUAACCCACACCUUCCUUCAAUGCUUCCUCUUCUAUAACAUGCGCAAGUAUUUGGAUCAAUGGUUUAAUAUUCUCUACUUGUGUUAUUUUUUUGUUGUGUUGAAAUUUUUUAAAAAAUGGAAAUAUUGUAGUACAUGAAUUGCAUUUUAAUUAUAAAUAUAUAUACUCCAGUGCUAUGAAGCAUGGACACGGACAUGCAAUACGGAUACGACACGAUAUGAAUACGGUGAUACAGUAAUUUUUAAAAAAUAAGGACACGAAUAUGGAAGGAUACGACAAUAAAAAAAUAUUUUAUAAUUUUUAUAUAUUUUUAUAUUAAAAUACUCAAAUGUAAAUGAAAAUAUUGAUAUUUUUGCUAUUUUUAAACUACUAUAAUUUGUUUUUGAUUUUCUUACCCUAUUAUAAUUAUAUAAUAUAUUAACUACUUUUGUUUCUUUCUUACGCAAACAGCCCUUUUUUUUUCCCAUUUACCCUUUUUUUCCCUCCUCAUCUACUACAGACAGCUUUACACUCAUAUACCCUUUAUUUUCUUCCCCAUUUACUCCUUUUUCUUCCCUCCUCAUUUACUACUUUUACCUUUGCCUUUGUAUUUCUUCUCUGCAAAACAUUCAUCUACAAAACUUUCAGCAUCAUCAUCUUCACUUCAUAUAAGCGAACAGACUCCAAAGAAGGCAAGUGUGUCAAAAAUCCCAUAAAUUAUCAUGAUUAAAUGUUAAAUUUAUGCUUUUUAUCUGUUUUCUAAAGUUCUAUUAUUGUAUAUGGGUUUUUUCCCCUUUCUGAUUCAGGCCAAAAGAAAGUCUGGUAGUGUGCCUUUUUUGACACGUGUCGAGGUGUGUCCAGUAUGUAUCUGGCUGUGUCGGCGGUGUGUCCGUGUCGGACACCAGUACGACACUGGUACGAGGGGAUUUUCCCCGUGUCGGUGCUUCAUAGAUCCGGUGGGAUGCUCCAAUGGGGUUGACGCAGGCAGGUUAGGUUUUCGGGCCGACACAUGUAGGAGAGAGGGUCAAGAGGUUUUAAAGGAGAAGAUGAAGAGAAGGAAAAUGAGGAAGAUAAGGAAGAAGAUGAUAAAGAAGUCUAAGUGCAGCGUGUUCUUAAGGAACAGGGGGAAAGUGGAUGCAAAGAUGUUACAGACAUUAGAUGAACAGUACGCCCUGUGAUUGCAGUGCAAAAGAAUCAAUGGAGUUUUGAGGGUAAUGGGGUUUUUUCUCUACUUCUCUUGCAAUGGCUAAGCUAUUUCUUUCUUUUUCUCUCUCUAUAUUUUAACAAUAUUCCAACACAAGCUUUUGAUGUUUUUGAAAAUUUCGAAACCAAUUUCAAAAGGAGUUGUUUGAAAAACAGGGAUCGACUUUUGAAAAAUGAAAACGAGAGUCGUCACUAAUCUUUUAAAGUGUGAUUGGAUCACUAUAUAAAACGUUUUGGUCUACGAAAUUGUGAGAAAACAGGUUCGGGAGUUAAUUACGUUCGAGGAAGGAUUAGCACCAUCGUAACGUUUAAAAUUGGCACCAAAUUGGAUAAAUAUUUAUCUCAAUGCCAAAAUUUUGAGAAUAUUAAAAAAAAUGCGAUAUUAAAAAAAAUGCGAUUUUCUUAUUUUCGUAAUAAUUCAAAUUAAGAGAAUCGAGAUUCAUUCGCUUUGAAGGAAUAAUAAAUAUCACAUUCAGCAUAAUUGGACACAAUACUUUUAAACUUUCGUCCCAUGAUUUAUAAAACCUGCUUAAAAAUGAUAUUUUAGAUAUUUAGAUAAAUGGAAAAUUGCAACUCAGCAUAUUAGGGUACUAUUUCUCAAAUUUCAAAACAUCUAAAACAUUGUCUCGUUCAUUUUCUAAAAGUUUUUUUUAAUGACUUUUGGUUUUGAAAGUAAUGAUAUGUUUCACAUAUUAUAAGAAAUUAAAUACAAUAUAUAUAUAUGCUUUAUCAUUUCAUGCAAAUAUAAUAAAGGUGACGAACAAGGAUUUAAAUUAUCUAAUAUGUUAUUAUUUCAUGCAUGGUCAUAAAUAGUAUCAUUACAUACACAAUACAACAUAGAAUAUAAUGAAUUCAAUAAUAUAAAUUGUAUAAUGC
This 2620-nucleotide long non-coding RNA is filed under the name Gossypium barbadense (sea-island cotton). Its description in RNAcentral is "long non-coding RNA (GBAR_LNC013053)". The record is from RNAcentral. Lineage: Eukaryota; Viridiplantae; Streptophyta; Magnoliopsida; Malvales; Malvaceae.